This 2898-nucleotide ribosomal RNA is filed under the name Kamptonema sp. SIO1D9. Its description in RNAcentral is "23S ribosomal RNA". It matches the Rfam family "Bacterial large subunit ribosomal RNA". Lineage: Bacteria; Bacillati; Cyanobacteriota; Cyanophyceae; Oscillatoriales; Microcoleaceae. RNAcentral also lists the same sequence under 1 other name. The record is from RNAcentral.
AUGGUCAAGCUAGAAACGGCUAACGGUGGAUACCUAGCCACGCAGAGGCGAAGAAGGACGUAGCAACCGACGAAACGCUCCGGGGAGCUGGAAGCAAGCAUUGAGCCGGAGGUAUCCGAAUGGGAGAACCCCAAAGUACGGUCUGCCGAACACAUAGGCAGAAACGAGCGAACCUGGCGAACUGAAACAUCUUAGUAGCCAGAGGAAAAGAAAGCAAACAGCGAUUCCCCAAGUAGCGGCGAGCGAAACGGGACCAGCCUAAACCACUGACUGCGGUGAGUGGGGUAGAGGGACAACCAUCAGGGAAGAAAGAGGAGUUAGACGAAGCAGCGAAAUCCUGCACCAGAGAAGGUGAAAGUCCUGUAGUCAAAAACCAAUCUCACCCGGUUGAAUCCCGAGUAGCGCGGGGUAAGUGAAGUCCCGCGUGAAUCAGCCAGGACCACCUGGUAAGGCUAAAUACUCCUGCGUGAGCGAUAGCGAAACAGUACCGUGAGGGAAAGGUGAAAAGAACCCCGGCGAGGGGAGUGAAAUAGAACCUGAAACCGUUAGCUGACAAGCAGUGGGAGCUCGAUUAAACGAGUGACCGCGUGCCUGUUGAAGAAUGAGCCGGCGAGUAGCAGGUCGUGGCAGGUUAAGGUGGAAAAAACCGCAGCCAAAGCGAAAGCGAGUCCGAAAAGGGCGUUAAGUCACGAUUUGCUGACCCGAACCCGGGUGAUCUAACCAUGUCCAGGAUGAAGCUUAGGUAAAACUAAGUGGAGGUCCGCACCGACCGACGUUGAAAAGUCGGCGGAUGAGGUGUGGUUAGGGGUGAAAUGCCAAUCGAACCCGGAGCUAGCUGGUUCUCCCCGAAAUGCGUUUAGGCGCAGCGGUUGUGUAGAAAGCUGUGGGGGUAAAGCACUGUUUCGCUGCGGGCUGCGAGAGCGGUACCAAAGCGAGGCAAACUCAGAAUACCACAGCCAGCAGCAGCCAGUGAGACGGUGGGGGAUAAGCUUCAUCGUCAAGAGGGAAACAGCCCAGACCACCAGCUAAGGUCCCGAAAUGGUCGCUAAGUGAUUAAGGAGGUGGGAGUGCCGUGACAACCAGGAGGUUUGCCUAGAAGCAGCAAUCCUUGAAAGAGUGCGUAAUAGCUCACUGGUCAAGCGCUCCUGCGCCGAAAAUGAACGGGGCUAAGUGACCUACCGAAGCUGUGGACUUGAAAUUCAAGUGGUAGGGGAGCGUUCCGCAUUAGGUAGAAGCACUAGCGGCAAGCAGGUGUGGACGAAGCGGAAGUGAGAAUGUCGGCUUGAGUAGCGAAAAUCUUGGUGAGAAUCCAAGACCCCGAAACCCUAAGGGUUCCUCCGGCAGGCUCGUCCGCGGAGGGUAAGUCAGGACCUAAGGCGAGGCUGAAGAGCGUAGUCGAUGGACAACGGGCGAAAAUUCCCGUACCGUUUUCAGUUUGGGGUGGGUGACGGAGAAGGUUGUCACCAGCCGGGUGAUGGUAGUCCCGGUGCAAGCGUACGAGGUGUAGAAGGACGGCGAAAACGUCCCGAGCUGAGUCGCGAGUCCGACCCGCUACGGCGGGGAAGUGGUAGAAAUCCGGCUUCCUAGAAAAGCCCUGACCCCGUGAAGCUGAGAAUGCCUGUACCCGAAACCGACACAGGUAGGGUGGUAGAGAAUACCGAGGGGCGCGAGAUAACUCUCUCUAAGGAACUCGGCAAAAUGACCCCGUAACUUCGGAAGAAGGGGUGCCUACCGAGAGGUAGGUCGCAGUGAAGAGGCCCAGGCGACUGUUUACCAAAAACACAGGUCUCCGCCAAGUCGUAAGACGCAGUAUGGAGGCUGACGCCUGCCCAGUGCCGGAAGGUUAAGGAAGUCGGUUAGGGGUAACCCGAAGCUGGCGACCGAAGCCCCGGUGAACGGCGGCCGUAACUAUAACGGUCCUAAGGUAGCGAAAUUCCUUGUCGGGUAAGUUCCGACCCGCACGAAAGGCGUAACGAUCUGGGCGCUGUCUCGGAGAGAGGCUCGGCGAAAUAGGAAUGUCUGUGAAGAUACGGACUACCUGCACCUGGACAGAAAGACCCUAUGAAGCUUUACUGUAGCCUGGAAUUGUGUUCGGGCCUGGCUUGCGCAGGAUAGGUGGGAGGCAGAGAAGGUGUCCUUGUGGGGACACUGGAGCCAACGGUGAGAUACCACUCUGGCGAGGCUAGAAUUCUAACCAUGACCCGUGAACCGGGAAUGGGACAGUUUCAGGUGGGCAGUUUGACUGGGGCGGUCGCCUCCAAAAAGGUAACGGAGGCGCGCAAAGGUUCCCUCAGGCUGGUUGGAAAUCAGCCCAAGUGAGUGUAAAGGCACAAGGGAGCUUGACUGCGAGAGUGACAACUCAAGCAGGUAGGAAACUAGGCCUUAGUGAUCCGACGGCGCUGCGUGGAAGGGCCGUCGCUCAACGGAUAAAAGUUACUCUAGGGAUAACAGGCUGAUCUCCCCCAAGAGUUCACAUCGACGGGGAGGUUUGGCACCUCGAUGUCGGCUCAUCGCCACCUGGGGCGGAAGUACGUCCCAAGGGUUGGGCUGUUCGCCCAUUAAAGCGGUACGUGAGCUGGGUUCAGAACGUCGUGAGACAGUUCGGUCCAUAUCCGGUGCAGGCGCAAGAGCAUUGAGAGGAGCCUUCCUUAGUACGAGAGGACCGGGAAGGACGCACCGCUGGUGUACCAGUUAUCUUGCCAAAGGUAGACGCUGGGUAGCCAAGUGCGGAGUGGAUAACCGCUGAAAGCAUCUAAGUGGGAAGCCCACCUCAAGAUGAUUGCUCUCAUGGAGUUAAUCCAGUAAGGUCACGGAAAGAACAUCCGUUGAUAGGCGCUAGGUGGAAGUCCAGUAAUGGCUGGAGCCGAGGCGUACUAACAGACCGAGGGCUUGACCUCU